UCCCAUAAGAUCCCCCUAUGCCUUUCUUUCUUCUCCCCUUAGGAUCCAACGCCCAAAGAAGUUGGGCAUCCACCAUCUCAACUACUAAGAGGAGCUUGGGCACCCCUCUUCCUUGCUGGUUUCCAAACCUUAGUUGCUUCAUAAUCAAGGAAAGAAAAGCAAGAGAAGAAGAGAAGAAAAAGAUCAAGAAAAGGAUCAAAGAAUUAAUCGUGAUCCAGACUUCGUUCAGAUUCACAGGAUGAUUGUUCUUAGAGAAAAAAGAUCAAUAUCAAAGAGGUCUGUUCUAGGCUAAUUCUGAGUGGAUACCCAUAG
This 312-nucleotide long non-coding RNA is filed under the name Elaeis guineensis (African oil palm). RNAcentral describes it as "long non-coding RNA (EGUI_LNC052183)". Lineage: Eukaryota; Viridiplantae; Streptophyta; Magnoliopsida; Arecales; Arecaceae. The record is from RNAcentral.